AUGCGAUAAGUAAUGUGAAUUGCAGAAUUCAGUGAAUCAUCGAAUCUUUGAACGCACAUUGCGCCCGCCGGCAUUCCGGCGGGCAUGCCUGUCCGAGCGUCAUUUCAACCCUCAGGGUCCCCCGCCCAGCGCGGACGGGCCCUGGCGUUGGGGAUCGGCCCGCCCAGCGCGGCGCCGUCCCCUAAAUUCAGUGGCGGUCCCGCCGCAGCCUCCCCUGCGCAGUAGUUACCAACUCGCACUGGAGCGCGGCGCGGCCACGCCGUAAAACCCCCGACUUCUGGAAAGUUGACCUCGGAUCAGGUAGGAAUACCCGCUGAACUUAA
This 323-nucleotide unclassified non-coding RNA is filed under the name uncultured Striatibotrys. RNAcentral describes it as "partial contains 5.8S ribosomal RNA, internal transcribed spacer 2, and large subunit ribosomal RNA". The stretch from base 1 to 102 matches the Rfam family "5.8S ribosomal RNA", at positions 53 to 154 of the family's 154-position model. The record is from RNAcentral. Lineage: Eukaryota; Fungi; Ascomycota; Sordariomycetes; Hypocreales; Stachybotryaceae.